CCUACGGGUGGCAGCAGUGAGGAAUAUUGGUCAAUGGACGCAAGUCUGAACCAGCCAUGCCGCGUGCAGGAAGACGGCUCUAUGAGUUGUAAACUGCUUUUGUACGAGGGUAAACGCAGAUACGCGUAUCUGUCUGAAAGUAUCGUACGAAUAAGGAUCGGCUAACUCCGUGCCAGCAGCCGCGGUAAUACGGAGGAUUCAAGCGUUAUCCGGAUUUAUUGGGUUUAAAGGGUGCGUAGGCGGUCGGAUAAGUUAGAGGUGAAAUCCCGAGGCUCAACUUCGGAAUUGCCUCUGAUACUGUUCGGCUAGAGAGUAGUUGUGGUAGGCGGAAUGUAUGGUGUAGCGGUGAAAUGCUUAGAGAUCAUACAGAACACCGAUUGCGAAGGCAUCUCACGAAUCCGCGAUUGACGCUGAUGCACGAAAGCGUGGGUAUCAAACAGGAUUAGAUACCCGUGUAGUC
RNAcentral lists this ribosomal RNA (460 nucleotides) under uncultured bacterium. Its description in RNAcentral is "partial 16S ribosomal RNA". It matches the Rfam family "Bacterial small subunit ribosomal RNA", at positions 338 to 795 of the family's 1533-position model. The record is from RNAcentral.